AGAGUUUGAUCAUGGCUCAGGAUGAACGCUGGCGGCGUGCUUAACACAUGCAAGUCGAACGGAAAGGCCUUGUGCUUGCACAGGGUACUCGAGUGGCGAACGGGUGAGUAACACGUGGGUGAUCUGCCCUGCACUGUGGGAUAAGCCUGGGAAACUGGGUCUAAUACCAUAUAGGACCGCAUCUUGGAUGGUGUGGUGGAAAGCUUUCGCGGUGUGGGAUGAGCCUGCGGCCUAUCAGCUUGUUGGUGGGGUAAUGGCCUACCAAGGCGGCGACGGGUAUCCGGCCUGAGAGGGUGUACGGACACAUUGGGACUGAGAUACGGCCCAGACUCCUACGGGAGGCAGCAGUGGGGAAUAUUGCACAAUGGGCGCAAGCCUGAUGCAGCGACGCCGCGUGGGGGAUGAAGGCCUUCGGGUUGUAAACUCCUUUCGCUAUCGACGAAGCCACUUGUGGUGACGGUAGGUAGAUAAGAAGCACCGGCUAACUACGUGCCAGCAGCCGCGGUAAUACGUAGGGUGCAAGCGUUGUCCGGAAUUACUGGGCGUAAAGAGCUCGUAGGUGGUUUGUCGCGUCGUCUGUGAAAUCCCGGGGCUUAACUUCGGGCGUGCAGGCGAUACGGGCAUAACUUGAGUGCUGUAGGGGAGACUGGAAUUCCUGGUGUAGCGGUGAAAUGCGCAGAUAUCAGGAGGAACACCGAUGGCGAAGGCAGGUCUCUGGGCAGUUACUGACGCUGAGGAGCGAAAGCAUGGGUAGCGAACAGGAUUAGAUACCCUGGUAGUCC
This 782-nucleotide ribosomal RNA is filed under the name uncultured bacterium. RNAcentral's name for it is "bacterial SSU rRNA". It matches the Rfam family "Bacterial small subunit ribosomal RNA", at positions 8 to 796 of the family's 1533-position model. The record is from RNAcentral.